CAGUCGCCGCGGUAAAACCAGCACCUCGAGUGGUCAGGAGGUUUAUUGGGCCUAAAGCAUCCGUAGCCGGUUGCAUAAGUUUUCGGUUAAAUCUAUGCGCUUAACGUAUAGGCCGCCGAAAAUACUGUGCAGCUAGGGAGUGGGAGAGGUACACGGUACUCGAUAGGAAGGGGUAAAAUCCUUUGAUCUAUUGAUGACCACCUGUGGCGAAGGCGGUGUACCAGAACACGUUCGACGGUGAGGGAUGAGAGCUGGGGGAGCAAACAGGAUUAGAUACCCGCGUAGUCCCUGUCUCUUAUAC
RNAcentral lists this ribosomal RNA (301 nucleotides) under uncultured bacterium. RNAcentral's name for it is "partial 16S ribosomal RNA". It matches the Rfam family "Archaeal small subunit ribosomal RNA", at positions 459 to 760 of the family's 1478-position model. The record is from RNAcentral.